RNAcentral lists this non-coding RNA (24 nucleotides) under Arabidopsis thaliana (thale cress). The record is from RNAcentral. Lineage: Eukaryota; Viridiplantae; Streptophyta; Magnoliopsida; Brassicales; Brassicaceae.
AUAAUCUGCAGUAAAUGAGGUUGC